This 567-nucleotide ribosomal RNA is filed under the name uncultured Xylariaceae. RNAcentral describes it as "eukaryotic LSU rRNA". The stretch from base 184 to 337 matches the Rfam family "5.8S ribosomal RNA". Lineage: Eukaryota; Fungi; Ascomycota; Sordariomycetes; Xylariales; Xylariaceae. The record is from RNAcentral.
UCCGUAGGUGAACCUGCGGAGGGAUCAUUAUAGAGUUGUAAAACUCCCUAAACCCAUGUGAACAUACCUGUUGCCUCGGCGGGCCUACCCUAUAGUUACCCUGUAGCUACCCGGGAGUGACCGCCGAAGGACUACCAAACUCUUUUAUCUCUGUAUCUCUGAGUAAAAAAACAAAUAAGUUAAAACUUUCAACAACGGAUCUCUUGGUUCUGGCAUCGAUGAAGAACGCAGCGAAAUGCGAUAAGUAAUGUGAAUUGCAGAAUUCAGUGAAUCAUCGAAUCUUUGAACGCACAUUGCGCCCAUUAGUAUUCUAGUGGGCAUGCCUGUUCGAGCGUCAUUUAGUCCACUUAAGCCCUUUGCUUAGUAUUGGGAAUCUACUCCUGCAUCGCAGCUGUAGUUCCUCAAAGACAGCGGCGGAGUCGUGGUUUUACUCUGAGCUUAGUAAUUUUUUUCUAGCUUUCGAGUUGCCAUUGCCCCAUUGCCGUAAAACACCCUUUAUUUUUUAAUGGUUGACCUCGGAUCAGGUAGGAAUACCCGCUGAACUUAAGCAUAUCAAUAAGCGGAGGA